Molecule: transfer RNA, 72 nt
Filed under: Ascocoryne sarcoides NRRL 50072
Lineage: Eukaryota; Fungi; Ascomycota; Leotiomycetes; Helotiales; Gelatinodiscaceae
Description: tRNA-Gln (CTG) (tRNA-Gln-CTG-2-1)
Rfam family: tRNA
About the family: Transfer RNA (tRNA) molecules are approximately 80 nucleotides in length. Their secondary structure includes four short double-helical elements and three loops (D, anti-codon, and T loops).
Source: RNAcentral
GGUUCUAUGGUGUAAUGGUUAGCACAUCGGAUUCUGAUUCCGGGGAUGUUGGUUCGAUUCCUACUAGAACCU